Molecule: ribosomal RNA, 253 nt
Filed under: uncultured prokaryote
Description: partial 16S ribosomal RNA
Rfam family: Bacterial small subunit ribosomal RNA
Source: RNAcentral
AACGUAGGUGGCGAGCGUUAUCCGGAUUUACUGGGCGUAAAGCGUGUGCAGGCGGUCUUAUAAGUGGUGUAUGAAAACGCACGGCUCAACCGGGCGCGGUUAUGCCAGACUGUAGGACUGGAGUGUGAGAGAGGGAUGUGGAAUUCCGGGUGUAGUGGUGAAAUGCGUAGAGAUCCGGAGGAACCCCAGAGGCGAAGGCGGCAUCCUGGCUCACAACUGACGCUCAGACACGACAGCAUGGGGAGCGAACGGG